UGAAGAAGGCCUUGCGGUUGUAGAGCACUAUAUGCGACGAGGAUGCUACCUGGAUCCUACUCUAGGAUACUGGACGUUACUCACACAAUUACCGCCGGCUAACUCUGUGCCAGCAGCCGCGGUAAUACAGAGGGUGCGAGCGUUAAUCGGAUUUACUGGGCGUAAAGCGUGCGUAGGCGGCUGAUUAAGUCGGAUGUGAAAUCCCUGAGCUUAACUUAGGAAUUGCAUUCGAUACUGGUCAGCUAGAGUAUGGGAGAGGAUGGUAGAAUUCCAAGUGUAGCGGUGAAAUGCGUAGAGAUCUGGAGGAAUACCGAUGGCGAAGGCAGCCAUCUGGCCUAAUACUGACGCUGAGGUACGAAAGCAUGGGGAGCAAACAGGAUUAGAUACCCUGGUAGUCCAUGCCGUAAACGAUGUCUACUAGCCGUUGGGGCCUUUGAGGCUUUAGUGGCGCAGCUAACGCGAUAAGUAGACCGCCUGGGGAGUACGGUCGCAAGACUAAAACUCAAAUGAAUUGACGGGGGCCCGCACAAGCGGUGGAGCAUGUGGUUUAAUUCGAUGCAACGCGAAGAACCUUCACUGGGCUUGACCUACUAGAAACU
Molecule: ribosomal RNA, 599 nt
Filed under: uncultured bacterium
Lineage: Bacteria
Description: bacterial SSU rRNA
Rfam family: Bacterial small subunit ribosomal RNA
Source: RNAcentral